UAGGGAAUCUUCCGCAAUGGACGAAAGUCUGACGGAGCAACGCCGCGUGAGUGAUGAAGGUUUUCGGAUCGUAAAGCUCUGUUGCCAGGGAAGAACGGCCGGAAGAGGAAAUGCUUUCGGUUUGACGGUACCUGAGAAGAAAGCCCCGGCUAACUACGUGCCAGCAGCCGCGGUAAUACGUAGGGGGCAAGCGUUGUCCGGAAUUAUUGGGCGUAAAGCGCGCGCAGGCGGUCUUUUAAGUUAGGUGUUUCAGUCUAGGGCUCAACCUUAGGUCGCAUCUAAAACUGGGAGACUAGAGUGUAGGAGAGGAAAGUGGAAUUCCACGUGUAGCGGUGAAAUGCGUAGAGAUGUGGAGGAACACCAGUGGCGAAGGCGACUUUCUGGCCUAUAACUGACGCUG
Molecule: ribosomal RNA, 400 nt
Filed under: uncultured bacterium
Lineage: Bacteria
Description: bacterial SSU rRNA
Rfam family: Bacterial small subunit ribosomal RNA
Source: RNAcentral